AGUGAACGCUGGCGGUAGGCCUAACACAUGCAAGUCGAACGGCAGCACAGUAAGAGCUUGCUCUUACGGGUGGCGAGUGGCGGACGGGUGAGGAAUACAUCGGAAUCUACUUUUUCGUGGGGGAGAACGUAGGGAAACUUACGCUAAUACCGCAUACGACCUACGGGUGAAAGCAGGGGAUCUUCGGACCUUGCGCGAUUGAAUGAGCCGAUGUCGGAUUAGCUAGUUGGCGGGGUAAAGGCCCACCAAGGCAACGAUCCGUAGCUGGUCUGAGAGGAUGAUCAGCCACACUGGAACUGAGACACGGUCCAGACUCCUACGGGAGGCAGCAGUGGGGAAUAUUGGACAAUGGGCGCAAGCCUGAUCCAGCCAUACCGCGUGGGUGAAGAAGGCCUUCGGGUUGUAAAGCCCUUUUGUUGGGAAAGAAAAGCGGCAGGUUAAUACCCCGCUGCUCUGACGGUACCCAAAGAAUAAGCACCGGCUAACUUCGUG
RNAcentral lists this ribosomal RNA (492 nucleotides) under uncultured bacterium. RNAcentral's name for it is "partial 16S ribosomal RNA". It matches the Rfam family "Bacterial small subunit ribosomal RNA", at positions 29 to 507 of the family's 1533-position model. The record is from RNAcentral.